UGAACUGCAUUGUGAUUUUUAAGUUGAGGUCUUUGGUUUCAUAAAAUGGCUAAUGUGAGAAGACUGUCAAGACAUUUGAUGUUGCAGAAAGCUGAUGCCAAGUCUCUGGGUGUGUGUGGAAGUAUCCGUGUGUGUCAAGUGGUUGAGAUAGCCCCUGCAGACCACCUCGUGCCCUAACAUUCCAAAUGCGGCUCAGACUUCCCAAGAACAGGCCAUCUUCUGUGGGAUGGGAGCUCUGGAGCAACGAUGUCCUGUGAGUCAGGGAUGAUGGCCUGGCUGAGCCGCACCGCGCAGGCGCUCUUCCCCAGCGCAGACGCCCUGCUCUGUCCUGACAGUCCCGCGUUGCCCUCAAUCUGAAGGUGCCCUUGCAGUCAGGUUGGAGCUACAGAAUUAUUUGCUGAUUUGCGUCCCCAGCCCUCUCCUUUUUUGUUGUUGUGGUAGCCUUGGAGGACUCUAUCCCAGAUGAUAAAAUACAAGAGCGAAAUUUUUGGACUCAUCCUGGUCUUUGUGUGCAUGAAAAAUAAAGUUGUAUUACGUUAAG
This 541-nucleotide long non-coding RNA is filed under the name Homo sapiens (human). RNAcentral's name for it is "HSALNT0143320". The record is from RNAcentral. Lineage: Eukaryota; Metazoa; Chordata; Mammalia; Primates; Hominidae.